RNAcentral lists this transfer RNA (65 nucleotides) under Franciscoloa pallida. Its description in RNAcentral is "tRNA-Leu". The record is from RNAcentral. Lineage: Eukaryota; Metazoa; Arthropoda; Insecta; Psocodea; Menoponidae.
UCUAACAUGGCAGAUUAGUGCAAUGAAUUUAAGAUUCAUAAAUGAGAACUCUUUCUCUGUUAGAA